RNAcentral lists this unclassified non-coding RNA (200 nucleotides) under soil metagenome. Its description in RNAcentral is "partial contains internal transcribed spacer 2 and large subunit ribosomal RNA". The record is from RNAcentral.
CUGUUCGAGCGUCAUUAUGACCACUCAAGCCUUGGCUUGGUAUUGGGGUUCGCGGUCUCGCGGCCCUUAAAAUCAGUGGCGGUGCCAUCUGGCUCUAAGCGUAGUAAUCUAUCUCGCUAUUGGGUCCGGUAGUUGCUUGCUAACAACCCCCAACUUCUAAGGUUGACCUCGGAUCAGGUAGGGAUACCCGCUGAACUUAA